RNAcentral lists this non-coding RNA (123 nucleotides) under zebrafish metagenome. RNAcentral's name for it is "Moco (molybdenum cofactor) riboswitch". The stretch from base 6 to 109 matches the Rfam family "Molybdenum/Tungsten riboswitch aptamer (Moco RNA motif)", at positions 15 to 117 of the family's 135-position model. The record is from RNAcentral.
UAAACCCGAGCCUGUCAGCCUAACGCCUUAGCGCCAGGGUUGGCCGGCCGAGCCGGGAAACCGGCGAGGGUGGUGCGGGAAACCAAACCGCCUCCCGACUUUGGAAAGGUGUUUAUGGCUUCA